This 387-nucleotide ribosomal RNA is filed under the name uncultured bacterium. RNAcentral describes it as "partial 16S ribosomal RNA". It matches the Rfam family "Bacterial small subunit ribosomal RNA", at positions 338 to 723 of the family's 1533-position model. The record is from RNAcentral.
CCUACGUGUGGCAGCAGUGAGGAAUAUUGGUCAAUGGACGCGAGUCUGAACCAGCCAAGUAGCGUGAAGGAUGACUGCCCUAUGGGUUGUAAACUUCUUUUAUAUGGGAAUAAAAUGUUCCACGUGUGGGAUUUUGUAUGUACCAUAUGAGUAAGGAGCGCCGAACUCCGUGCCAGCAGCGGCGGUAAUACGGAAGGCUCGCGCGUUAUCCGGAUUCAUUGGGCUUAUAGGGAGCGUAGGCGGGCGUUCAAGUGAGCGGGAAAAUCGCGCGGCUCAACCGCGCACCGCAGUUGAAACUGGACGCCUUGAGUUCACAAAAGGCAGGCGGAAUUCAUGGUGUAGCGGUGAAAUGCAUAGAUAUCACGAGGAACCCCGAUUGCGAAGGCA